This 253-nucleotide ribosomal RNA is filed under the name uncultured bacterium. Its description in RNAcentral is "partial 16S ribosomal RNA". It matches the Rfam family "Bacterial small subunit ribosomal RNA", at positions 524 to 776 of the family's 1533-position model. The record is from RNAcentral.
UACGUAGGUGGCGAGCGUUGUCCGGAUUUACUGGGCGUAAAGGGCGUGCAGGCGGUUUGUUAAGUGCAGGGUGAAAGCUCCCGGCUCAACUGGGAGAGGUCCUUGCAUACUGGCGAACUCGAGGGAGGCAGAGGAAAGUGGAAUUCCCGGUGUAGUGGUCAUAUGCGUAGAUAUCGGGAGGAACACCUGUGGCGAAGGCGGCUUUCUGGGCCUUACCUGACGCUGAGACGCGAAAGCGUGGGGAGCGAACCGG